This 30-nucleotide non-coding RNA is filed under the name Mus musculus (house mouse). The record is from RNAcentral. Lineage: Eukaryota; Metazoa; Chordata; Mammalia; Rodentia; Muridae.
UGUAUGCGGAUGUAGGCCAGAAGAGGGCGU